UGCCAGCCGCCGCGGUAAUACGAAGGGUGCUAGCGUUGUUCGGAAUUACUGGGCGUAAAGAGCAUGUAGGCGGAUGAAUUAGUCAGAGGUGAGAGCCCCGAGCUCAACUUGGGAACUGCCUUCAAAACUGCCAGUCUUGAGUUCGGGAGAGGUGAGUGGAAUUCCUAGUGUAGAGGUGAAAUUCGUAGAUAUUAGGAAGAACACCAGUGGCGAAGGCGACUCACUGGCCCGAUACUGACGCUGAGGCGCGAAAGCGUGGGGAGCAAACAGGAUUAGAUA
This 279-nucleotide ribosomal RNA is filed under the name uncultured bacterium. Its description in RNAcentral is "partial 16S ribosomal RNA". It matches the Rfam family "Bacterial small subunit ribosomal RNA", at positions 506 to 784 of the family's 1533-position model. The record is from RNAcentral.